UACGUAGGUGGCAAGCGUUGUCCGGAUUUACUGGGUGUAAAGGGCGUGUAGCCGGGCUGACAAGUCAGAUGUGAAAUCCGGGGGCUCAACCCCCGAACUGCAUUUGAAACUGUUGGUCUUGAGUAUCGGAGAGGCAGGCGGAAUUCCUAGUGUAGCGGUGAAAUGCGUAAAUAUAAGGAAGAGCACCAGUGGCGAAGGCGGAUGACUGGACGGCAACUGACGGUGAGGCGCGAAAGCGUGGGGAGCAAACAGG
RNAcentral lists this ribosomal RNA (253 nucleotides) under uncultured bacterium. RNAcentral describes it as "partial 16S ribosomal RNA". It matches the Rfam family "Bacterial small subunit ribosomal RNA", at positions 524 to 776 of the family's 1533-position model. The record is from RNAcentral.